This 400-nucleotide unclassified non-coding RNA is filed under the name uncultured bacterium. Its description in RNAcentral is "contains 16S-23S intergenic spacer region". The record is from RNAcentral.
AGCCCUGGUCAAUGAGAUGGGCCCGCAAACGAAGGGCUUGCGGCGCGACUGGGGCAUGACGUUGACAGAGUUGCUCAACGAGCGAUUUCUGGCGCCGAUGCAGCAGUGGUCGAAACGUAACCGCACGUUGUUUCGCAUUCAGGAUUAUGGUGUCCCCGCGGCGACGAUCUCCAGCAAUGCCUUUGCGGACAUUCCGGAUGGUGAAGGUUCGCAGUGGAAAGUAGUUCGUGCGUCGCGUUGGGCUUCAUCAGCCAGCCAUCUUUACAGCCGGCCGAUAGCGUCUUCGGAAACCUGGACAUGGUUACACUCGCCUUCGUUUCGGGCGACUCCGCUCGACGUCAAGGCUGAGGCCGACCUGCAUUUCCUCCAGGGAAUCAAUCAAUUGAUCGGACAUGGUUGG